RNAcentral lists this long non-coding RNA (272 nucleotides) under Citrus sinensis (sweet orange). Its description in RNAcentral is "long non-coding RNA (CSIN_LNC005591)". Lineage: Eukaryota; Viridiplantae; Streptophyta; Magnoliopsida; Sapindales; Rutaceae. The record is from RNAcentral.
AACAGCUAAUGGCCAGUACAGAAACUAAUCAAUUUAAUCCGCACUCCAUUUUUAUGCAGUAGAAUUUAAAAGCCAGAAAGAUCCGACUUCAGCUAUAAAUACCCCCAUACCACUUCACAAUUUUCAUCACUCACACUCGCAUUCACAAAGUCUUUAAUAUUCAUAAAUUGAAUUCUUUGAGAAAUGGCUUCCAAGUCAUCAGCAGCCCUUUUGCUCUCCCUCAACCUCCUGUUAUUCGUUGUCCUUACCUCAGCCACAAGGACUGUGCCUGG